GAUGAACGCUGGCGGCGUGCUUAACACAUGCCAGUCGAACGGGAUCCAAGGGGUGCUUGCCCUUUUUGGUGAGAGUGGCGAACGGGUGAGUAACACGUGAGUAACCUUUCCUUUUCUUUGGGAUAAGCAUUCGAAAGGGUGUUUAAUACCUUAUGUUCUUUCUGCCUCGCAUGGGGUGGGUGGGAAAGGCUUUGGCCGGAGUUGGGUGGGCUGCGGGUCUUGAUGCUGGUGGGUGGGGUGAUGGCUGCCCAGGGCUUUACCGGGGAGCGGGGCGGAGAGGGUGGUGGGUGACAUUGGGACUGAGAUACGGCGCAGACUCCCGCGGGAGGCAGCAGUGGGGGAUAUUGCACAAUGGGCGAAAGCCUGAUGCAGCGACGCCGCGUGGGGGAUGAAGGCCUGCGGGUUGUAAACUUCUUUUGCUCUGAACAAGGCAUGCCAGUGGGUGUGUUGAGUGUAGGGGUUGAUAAGCGCCGGCUAACUACGUG
This 485-nucleotide ribosomal RNA is filed under the name uncultured bacterium. RNAcentral describes it as "partial 16S ribosomal RNA". It matches the Rfam family "Bacterial small subunit ribosomal RNA", at positions 28 to 507 of the family's 1533-position model. The record is from RNAcentral.